This 497-nucleotide ribosomal RNA is filed under the name uncultured bacterium. Its description in RNAcentral is "partial 16S ribosomal RNA". It matches the Rfam family "Bacterial small subunit ribosomal RNA", at positions 28 to 507 of the family's 1533-position model. The record is from RNAcentral.
GAUGAACGCUGGCGGCGUGCCUAAUACAUGCAAGUCGAGCGAACAGACGAGGAGCUUACUCCUCUGACGUUAGCGGCGGACGGGUGAGUAACACGUGGAUAACCUACCUAUAAGACUUGGAUAACUUCGGGAAACCGGAGCUACUACCGGAUAACAUGUUGAACCGCAUGGUUCAACAGUGAAAGACGGUCUUGCUGUCACUUAUAGAUGGAUCCGCGUCGCAUUAGCUAGUUGGUAAGGUAACGGCUUACCAAGGCAACGAUGCGUAGCCGACCUGAGAGGGUGAUCGGCCACACUGGAACUGAGACACGGUCCAGACUCCUACGGGAGGCAGCAGUAGGGAAUCUUCCGCAAUGGGCGAAAGCCUGACGGAGCAACGCCGCGUGAGUGAAGAAGGUCUUCGGAUCGUAAAACUCUGUUAUUAGGGAAGAACAAAUGUGUAAGUAACUAUGCACGUCUUGACGGUACCUAAUCAGAAAGCCACGGCUAACUACGUG